AACGAACGCUGGCGGCAUGCCUAACACAUGCAAGUCGAACGUGAUCCAGGCUUCGGCCUGGUGAAAGUGGCAGACGGGUGAGUAACGCGUGGGAACCUGCCCUGUGGUAGGGAAUAACCGUGGGAAACUGCGGCUAAUACCCUAUGAGUCCUUCGGGAGAAAGAUUUAUCGCCAUAGGAGGGGCCCGCGUCGGAUUAGGUAGUUGGUGGGGUAACGGCCUACCAAGCCUUCGAUCCGUAGCUGGUCUGAGAGGAUGAUCAGCCACACUGGGACUGAGAUACGGCCCAGACUCCUACGGGAGGCAGCAGUGGGGAAUAUUGGACAAUGGGGGCAACCCUGAUCCAGCAAUGCCGCGUGGAUGAUGAAGGCCUUCGGGUUGUAAAGUCCUUUCGGCGGGGAAGAUGAUGACGGUACCCGCAGAAGAAGGCCC
Molecule: ribosomal RNA, 430 nt
Filed under: uncultured bacterium
Lineage: Bacteria
Description: bacterial SSU rRNA
Rfam family: Bacterial small subunit ribosomal RNA
Source: RNAcentral